CAGCCACAGGAAGCUAAAGGUCUGUGGGCU
This 30-nucleotide non-coding RNA is filed under the name Rattus norvegicus (Norway rat). The record is from RNAcentral. Lineage: Eukaryota; Metazoa; Chordata; Mammalia; Rodentia; Muridae.